Long non-coding RNA from Salvia miltiorrhiza (redroot sage), 631 nucleotides. RefSeq lists it as uncharacterized. The record is from RefSeq and is a predicted model, not a curated record. NCBI's taxonomy places the organism in Eukaryota, Viridiplantae, Streptophyta, Magnoliopsida, Lamiales, Lamiaceae. The transcript is spliced from 3 exons.
GAUCCAUCUUACAGUUACAGAAUCACCGAGACAGAGAAAAUACAUCAAUAAUUCUCCUCUACAUUUUUUUUUUCCUUUCUUUUUCUUCUCUUUUUCUUUCCAUUAAUUUUGUUCCCCACUCCAUUUUACCACUAAAUCUACUUUUUGACUUUCACCACCAUUUUCCCCACCACUUUCACCACCAACUCAAUUAUGCAACAACACAUAUUGUUCCAGCCAUCAAGUCUUUUCUUCCCUCACCAAAACGUGUAGAAGAAGUUGAGAAAGGGAGAGAGAGUUUCCUCCAACUCCAAAUUGUAACUUGAAGAGGUCAAACACGAGAUUAAUAAUCAGUCAAGGAGCUACUGUACCACAGAAAAUUUCUAUCAGGUUGAGCAGCUGCCGAUGGUGAUGAAGUGACGAGCGAGAUUCUUUUGUCUUAUUAUGUAUUAAUGAACUCUAGGGUUACAUGUCUUCAUACAUGUAAUCAGAACCUUAUUCCGCUGCGUACUCAGAAGUUUUAUGUUAUUUUGGAUAAGUCGGAGUUAUCCGAACUUGUUAGUUAUUUGAGUCUAUACGACAAAAACUCUGUUAUAUUAUAGAUAUCCAUGUUGUUAACAAUGAUGAAAUACGAUCCUUUCUUGUUUGAUUA